RNAcentral lists this long non-coding RNA (727 nucleotides) under Numida meleagris (helmeted guineafowl). Its description in RNAcentral is "lncRNA (ENSNMEG00000002270.1)". The record is from RNAcentral. Lineage: Eukaryota; Metazoa; Chordata; Aves; Galliformes; Numididae.
GUUAUUCUAAAACAGCAAGCAAGAGCCUGUCAACAGUAUUUUUGUAACAAUGUCUGUCUGAUUGUUUGCACACGUGUGCAUCCAUUUUCUGAUAAUUUACAAUUUUGCUUAUCUUUAGAAGUUUGAUCAACAAAUCAAAUAAGCAAAAAGAAAGUUUUGAGGCCUAAAAGAUGCAUCAGAUCCAAUUGCUCAUAUACAGGUGUAAAUCUUUAACACUGGACCCCGUGUACCAUACUUUGCUCACGCACAGUGUCAGAGGAAUUCUGCAAAGCAAAAAUUAUUUUGAGGAAGCAUCAGAUAAAGCAGGAAGAUUUUGUACAUGCUGACCACUCCUCUGUUCAUAGCCCACCUGAGGACAUGAUUUCCCCUGGGUGACCUUAUGCAAGACAUGAAUUGGCCACGUCUUUCAGACAGCAGGUGAGUUGUCAGUCUGAAAAUACAUACUGCCACUGCUACUAUUUCAAUCUCAUCUAAGGCUUCCUAGAAAGAUUCACAUCCCAGAAGAAUACCUGACACAGAUUCAUACCAUUGAAACACAAAUCAGAUCUUUCUAUAUUUAAUUGACAUAGACCUGAAUAACAGCAAAAGCCAGUUUACACUUGCAGUGUCUAGAAUACAAAAUUAACGUAACAUUUUUUUUCUUCAACAUAAAAGAAGAUGCCAUUCAGUGAAUCAUGAAUUUUUUUCAAUUUUACUCCAAGAUACUUUACUGCUAUGUUUUGUAUCA